This 253-nucleotide ribosomal RNA is filed under the name uncultured Ktedonobacter sp. Its description in RNAcentral is "partial 16S ribosomal RNA". It matches the Rfam family "Bacterial small subunit ribosomal RNA", at positions 524 to 776 of the family's 1533-position model. The record is from RNAcentral. Lineage: Bacteria; Bacillati; Chloroflexota; Ktedonobacteria; Ktedonobacterales; Ktedonobacteraceae.
UACGUAGGGGGCGAGCGUUGUCCGGAGUUACUGGGCGUAAAGGGCAUGUAGGCGGUGCGGCGCGUUUCGCGUGACAGCGCAGGGCUUCACUCUGCGAGGGUGCGAAAGACGGCAGCACUUGAGGGCCAGAGAGGGACACGGAAUUCCGGGUGGAGUGGUGAAAUGCGUAGAGAUCCGGAGGAACACCGAAGGCGAAGGCAGUGUCCUGGCUGGUGCCUGACGCUGAGAGGCGAAAGCCAGGGGAGCGAACGGG